CGCUCCGUUAUUCGCGCUGCGAAGCUCGAGCGAGCAGGCAGCAGGCACGAACCGCUCCGCGUGUGUCGUCUUAUUACGCCUCAAAAUGCGAUCGCGAUUAUUCUCUUGUAGUUGACGACUUAUCGUCUCGCGCGGUAGGUUAGUUAACCUCUGAACAAUGGCUAUUUAUCAUGGCAGCCACUUCGAGCGUUCAUGUUUUUCGAGAAGUAAUUGCUUGAAUCGCUGAAUAGCAGCCGAAUGAGAUUCGAUCUUUAAGUACGACUAAUCACAUUUGAGCACUAAUUACGUGAGCUUACCUGGUGAGCGAUAAUACCGAAUGUUUCCUUGUGCGAUGUACGCAUAAUAAUUCCUUUAGAAGCACUUUGAUAUAAACGUAUCUAAGCCUUGUUGAUUCUACGCCGUUUUUGCUCCGAUUGCGAGUGAGAGAGAGGUACGCAGGUUACUGGAUCUGCCUCGAGUAUCGAAAGCCGUGUGACGUAUCGAGCGUCUGUAUCGAUAGCCAACUUCAGGCGUAACAACGAAGCAUUCGACGUUUGGUGUAUGCAUGCAGUACGUCUUCCUGCAUUUCGUGACGGUUACGGAUUACAGGCGAGUGUUUUAAUUCAUCGAUUAAUCAAUCGCGAAUGCAACCUUGCUCCGUAAAAGCAGCAGCAUUUGCUUUGUCUCACACGCGUUUCUCCGCGACGUACGACGCCCGUUAGUGUUUACAUCGAAGAUUGUUUUUUCCGGCCGUUCGUCGACAUUCUUGGACGGAGCAGGUAGUAAGGUACGCGCGCGAGUGAGUGUGUUUGUGUGUGUACAUGUGCGUGUAACAAAGGAAUCUGAGAGGAGGAGCAGGCCUGGGAGGCGUCAGGCAACGGCGGAGCAACCGUAAAUACCUCGGCGUGAUAUUCAACUCCGCUGCUGCGCCUCAUACCGUAUCACCGCAGUUUGUACCGUGGCUGAUUGUGAAUAACUCCGCUCGUUGCGCAUCGGGUCGGUGAGUCAUAAAUCAAUUUUUUUUAUUAUAUUUUAAUAUCCUGCGCAGGACAACUGAAAGAAAGAGUCUGAUAGUUGAUACAAACUCUUUUCUUCAGUAGCCAAAUAAUUUUCCGAAGGGGAAAACGAGUACCCAAUCGCGUGCGAUCGGUCCUCGGGAGUGCCGUGUAAAGUACACUGAAAAUAAAGUCUGGUAAUAAGCACCAAAUGUAUAGUGUAAUAGUAUCAAUUAACUAUUUCAAUGUAACCAAAAGUAAUUUUAUUUCUUUAAAUAUUUAGUAAAG
Molecule: long non-coding RNA, 1262 nt
Organism: Solenopsis invicta (red fire ant)
Lineage: Eukaryota; Metazoa; Arthropoda; Insecta; Hymenoptera; Formicidae
Exons: 4
Source: RefSeq, a predicted model, not a curated record